Molecule: non-coding RNA, 75 nt
Organism: Myotis brandtii (Brandt's bat)
Lineage: Eukaryota; Metazoa; Chordata; Mammalia; Chiroptera; Vespertilionidae
Source: Rfam
GGCAAUUCUCGGGUGAUGCACCCUGGAAUCGGGCUCCCUCCUCUCUGGUUCUGGGUACAUCACCCAAGAACUGCA